AUUGAACGCUGGCGGCAGGCCUAACACAUGCAAGUCGAGCGGAUGAAGGGAGCUUGCUCCUGGAUUCAGCGGCGGACGGGUGAGUAAUGCCUAGGAAUCUGCCUGGUAGUGGGGGAUAACGUCCGGAAACGGGCGCUAAUACCGCAUACGUCCUGAGGGAGAAAGUGGGGGAUCUUCGGACCUCACGCUAUCAGAUGAGCCUAGGUCGGAUUAGCUAGUUGGUGGGGUAAAGGCCUACCAAGGCGACGAUCCGUAACUGGUCUGAGAGGAUGAUCAGUCACACUGGAACUGAGACACGGUCCAGACUCCUACGGGAGGCAGCAGUGGGGAAUAUUGGACAAUGGGCGAAAGCCUGAUCCAGCCAUGCCGCGUGUGUGAAGAAGGUCUUCGGAUGGUAAAGCACUUUAAGUUGGGAGGAAGGGCAGUAAGUAAUACCUUGCUGUUUUGACGUUACCAACAGAAUAAGCACCGGCUAACUUCGUG
Molecule: ribosomal RNA, 483 nt
Filed under: uncultured bacterium
Lineage: Bacteria
Description: partial 16S ribosomal RNA
Rfam family: Bacterial small subunit ribosomal RNA
Source: RNAcentral